AUCGCUUCUCAGCCUUUUGGCUAAGAUCAAGUGUAGUAACUGUUCUUAUCAGUUUAAUAUCUGAUAUGUCCUCUGAGGACAAUAUAUUAAAUGGAUUUUUGGAGCAGGGAGCUGGAAUAGGAACUUGCUCUGUCUACUCCAUGCAUUGAAAUUUUGGAAUCCAAACUAAAUAUAAUUGCAGUACUU
Molecule: small nuclear RNA, 186 nt
Filed under: Dasypus novemcinctus (nine-banded armadillo)
Lineage: Eukaryota; Metazoa; Chordata; Mammalia; Cingulata; Dasypodidae
Description: U2 spliceosomal RNA (ENSDNOG00000028319.1)
Rfam family: U2 spliceosomal RNA
About the family: U2 is a small nuclear RNA (snRNA) component of the spliceosome (involved in pre-mRNA splicing). Complementary binding between U2 snRNA (in an area lying towards the 5' end but 3' to hairpin I) and the branchpoint sequence (BPS) of the intron results the bulging out of an unpaired adenosine, on the BPS, which initiates a nucleophilic attack at the intronic 5' splice site, thus starting the first of two transesterification reactions that mediate splicing.
Source: RNAcentral